Molecule: long non-coding RNA, 384 nt
Filed under: Vombatus ursinus (common wombat)
Lineage: Eukaryota; Metazoa; Chordata; Mammalia; Diprotodontia; Vombatidae
Description: lncRNA (ENSVURG00010022543.1)
Source: RNAcentral
CCGCCGCCGCCGCCGCCGCCGCAGGAUGAGCAGCCUGGGGAAAGUGCGGCCGCCGGGGACAGCCACCCAGAGAAGAGACCAAACAGUGAGAAAGAAGACAAAAAGGCCAUUGAGCUUACUUUGGAGUAUAUGACACAAAGUUUCCAUCAGCUGUAUACCCCCAAGAUGGUGAAUUGCUUUUUCAAAAAAUCCAGACUGAAGAGUCAACACAGUAUGGUGCAUUCAGGGAGACCUGGGUAGGAGACUGGCCUCUUCCACCUACUGACUGUGUUCUCAGGGCCUGGAGAACUAUUUAAAACCAUGAGCUGCAGAGCAGGUGGAGAGCUGCAUUAGGAGAAGGAGGUUUCACACUGGGAAUUCCUUAUGCCAAUGACAUCAGAGAUG